Molecule: long non-coding RNA, 490 nt
Organism: Cinclus cinclus
Lineage: Eukaryota; Metazoa; Chordata; Aves; Passeriformes; Cinclidae
Exons: 2
Source: RefSeq, a predicted model, not a curated record
GUGACAACAACCCUGCCACCCUGCAGCCACCCGGACUCACCUGUGAGAGCCACCAGGUGUGGCAGGCAGAGACGGUUGGCGAGGAUGAUGAGCUUCAUGUCAUCCAGGUCGGGGCUGGAGCUGAACUGCCCCGUGUACAGCUGUGCCACCCUCCCGGGGAGCUCUCCUCACCUCGUUGGUGGAGCUCUCCACGAAGGGGCCGCCGAACAUCGCGGCCAUCCAGUCGCAGCUGGAGAUGAGCAGGGGCUUGUGGGCACUGAUAGCACCGUCAUCCAGCACGAAGGUGACAUCUGGGGACAAGCAGAGGGUCACAGGAGUUUGGUUAUCGGGUCAAAAGGAUAAGUAAUAAAGGUGUUCAGCUUUAAAAGACCUUGCAACCGGCUCGAUUCAGCUCCAUUUUGCUCACUCUUAGCUGGUAGCUGCAAGGGUUGCAGAACUCUCUGUACUUUAGAUAAGAUUUAAUAAACAACCGAGCCUGAACACGGGAAAA